RNAcentral lists this ribosomal RNA (253 nucleotides) under uncultured bacterium. Its description in RNAcentral is "partial 16S ribosomal RNA". It matches the Rfam family "Bacterial small subunit ribosomal RNA", at positions 524 to 776 of the family's 1533-position model. The record is from RNAcentral.
UACAGAGGUCUCAAGCGUUGUUCGGAUUCAUUGGGCGUAAAGGGCGCGUAGGCGGCGCAACAAGUCACUUGUGAAAUCUCCGGGCUUAACCCGGAGCGGCCAAGUGAUACUGUCGUGCUAGAGUGCGGAAGGGGCUACUGGAAUUCUCGGUGUAGCGGUGAAAUGCGUAGAUAUCGAGAGGAACACCUGCGGCGAAGGCGGGUAGCUGGGCCGACACUGACGCUGAGGCGCGAAAGCCAGGGGAGAGAACGGG